RNAcentral lists this ribosomal RNA (253 nucleotides) under uncultured bacterium. RNAcentral's name for it is "partial 16S ribosomal RNA". It matches the Rfam family "Bacterial small subunit ribosomal RNA", at positions 524 to 776 of the family's 1533-position model. The record is from RNAcentral.
UACGUAGGGUCCGAGCGUUGUCCGGAAUUAUUGGGCGUAAAGAGCUCGUAGGCGGUCAGUCGCGUCUGCUGUGAAAACUCGGGGCUUAACUCCGGGCCUGCAGUGGGUACGGGCUGACUAGAGUGUGGUAGGGGAGACUGGAAUUCCUGGUGUAGCGGUGAAAUGCGCAGAUAUCGGGAGGAACACCGAUGGCGAAGGCAGGUCUCUGGGCCACUACUGACGCUGAGAAGCGAAAGCAUGGGGAGCGAACAGG